This 505-nucleotide ribosomal RNA is filed under the name uncultured bacterium. Its description in RNAcentral is "bacterial SSU rRNA". It matches the Rfam family "Bacterial small subunit ribosomal RNA", at positions 25 to 518 of the family's 1533-position model. The record is from RNAcentral.
CAGGACGAACGCUGGCGGCGUGCCUAACACAUGCAAGUCGAGCGGGGACAUACGACGGAACCAAAGUUUCGGAUGGAGGUGAAGAUGUAUGUUCUAGCGGCGGACGGGUGAGUAACGCGUGGGCAACCUGUCCCUUACAGGGGGAUAACACAGCGAAAGUUGUACUAAUACCGCAUGAGACCACGGGGAGACAUCUUUCAGGGGUCAAAGGAGCAAUCCGGUAAGGGGUGGGCUCGCGUCCGAUUAGAUAGUUGGUGAGGUAACGGCCCACCAAGUCGACGAUCGGUAGCCGACCUGAGAGGGUGAUCGGCCACAUUGGGACUGAGACACGGCCCAAACUCCUACGGGAGGCAGCAGUGGGGAAUAUUGGGCAAUGGGGGGAACCCUGACCCAGCAACGCCGCGUGAGGGAAGAAGGUUUUCGGAUCGUAAACCUCUGUCCUUGGUGAAGAGUAAGAGACGGUAGCCAAGGAGGAAGCCCCGGCUAACUACGUGCCAGCAGCAGC